GCGGCGGACGGGUGAGUAACACGUGGGCAACCUGCCCCUUAGACUGGGAUAACUCCGGGAAACCGGAGCUAAUACCGGAUAAUCCCUUUCUCCACCUGGAGAGAGGGUGAAAGAUGGCUUCGGCUAUCACUAAGGGAUGGGCCCGCGGCGCAUUAGCUAGUUGGUAAGGUAACGGCUUACCAAGGCAACGAUGCGUACCCCACCUGAGAGGGUGAUCGGCCACACUGGGACUGACACACGGCCCACACUCCUACGGGAGGCAGCAGUAGGGAAUCUUCCGCAGUGGACGAAAGUCUGACGGAGCAACGCCGCGUGAGUGAGGAAGGCCUUCGGGUCGUAAAGCUCUGUUGUGAGGGAAGAAGCGGUACCGUUCGAAUAGGGCGGUACCUUGACGGUACCUCACCAGAAAGCCACGGCUAACUACGUGCCAGCAGCCGCGGUAAUACGUAUGUGGCAAGCGUUGUCCGGAAUUAUUGGGCGUAAAGCGCGCGCAGGCGGCUUCUUAAGUCUGAUGUGAAAUCUC
This 523-nucleotide ribosomal RNA is filed under the name Shouchella clausii. Its description in RNAcentral is "bacterial SSU rRNA". It matches the Rfam family "Bacterial small subunit ribosomal RNA", at positions 95 to 603 of the family's 1533-position model. The record is from RNAcentral. Lineage: Bacteria; Bacillati; Bacillota; Bacilli; Caryophanales; Bacillaceae.